UCUAAUAUGGCAGAAUAGUGCAAUGAAUUUAAGCUUCAUUUAUAAAGAAAAACUUUUAUUAGAA
This 64-nucleotide transfer RNA is filed under the name Mesovelia vittigera. RNAcentral describes it as "tRNA-Leu". The record is from RNAcentral. Lineage: Eukaryota; Metazoa; Arthropoda; Insecta; Hemiptera; Mesoveliidae.